CCUACGGGUGGCAGCCGUGGGGAAUAUUGGGCAAUGGGCGCAAGCCUGACCCAGCCACGCCGCGUGAAGGAAGAAGGCUUUCGGGUUGUAAACUUCUUUUCUCAGGGACGAAGAAAGUGACGGUACCUGAGGAAUAAGCCACGGCUAACUACGUGCCAGCCGCCGCGGUAAUACGUGGGUGGCAAGCGUUAUCCGGAUUUAUUGGGUGUAAAGGGCGUGUAGGCGGGAGCGCAAGUCAGAUGUGAAAACGCAGGGCGCAACCCUGGGCCUGCAUUUGAUAAUGUGUGUCGUGAGUGCUGGAGAGGCAAGCGGAAUUCCGGGUGUAGCGGUGAAAUGCGUAGAUAUACGGAGGAACACCAGUGGCGAAGGCGGAUUGCUGGACAGUAACUGACGCUGAGGCGCGAAAGCGUGGGGAGCAAACAGGAUUAGAUACCCUUGUAGUC
Molecule: ribosomal RNA, 443 nt
Filed under: uncultured bacterium
Lineage: Bacteria
Description: partial 16S ribosomal RNA
Rfam family: Bacterial small subunit ribosomal RNA
Source: RNAcentral